Danio rerio (zebrafish) is the source of this 4831-nucleotide non-coding RNA. The record is from RefSeq and is a predicted model, not a curated record. Lineage: Eukaryota; Metazoa; Chordata; Actinopteri; Cypriniformes; Danionidae.
UGUGAAGAUUGAAGAAACAUUCACAGUCAAACAGGAAGAUCUGCAGGAACAAACAGAUCUAAUUGAAGAGAAUAAGGGGAGUAAAGAAGAGGAACAUCAUGUCAAAAUUGAGGAAAAAACUCAUUUACAGACUGAUGGUAUUUUGAAAAAAAGAGACGAAAAUCGUUUCACCUGCACUCAAUGUGGAAGGAAUUUUGGAAGAAAAGGCGAUCUUAAGAUUCACAUGAGGAUCCACACUGGAGAGAAACCAUACAUAUGCACUCAGUGUGGGAAGAGUUUCAGCAUAUCAUCAAACCUUAAUCAACACAUGAGGAUCCACACUGGAGAGAAACCAUUCACAUGCACUCAGUGUGGGAAAAGCUUUAGCCAAUCAUCACACCUUAAUUACCACAUGAUGAUCCACGCUGGAGAGAAACCAUCCACAUGCUCACAGUGUGGGAAGAGUUUCAGUUGCUUAUCUCACCUUAAUAAACACAUGAGGAUCCACACUGGAGAGAAACCAUUCUCAUGCACUCAGUGUGGGAAGAGUUUCAGACACUCAUUAUUUCUUAAACAACACAUGAGGAUCCACACUGGAGAGAAACCAUUCACAUGCACUCUCUGUGGGAAGAGUUUCAGCCAAUCAUCAUCCCUUAAUCACCACAUGAGGAUCCACACUGGAGAGAAACCAUACACUUGCACUCAGUGUAGGAAGAGUUUCAGACGCUCAUCAUCUCUUAAAGAACACAUGAGAAUCCACUCUGGAGAGAAACCAUUCACAUGCACUCGGUGUGGGAAGAGUUUCAUACAAUCAUCACAACUUAACCGACACAUGAGGAUCCACACUGGAGAGAAACCAUUCACUUGCACCUAAUGUGGAAAGAGUUUUGGAAGAAAACACAAUCUUAAGAUUCACAUGAGGAUCCACACUGGAGAGAAACCAUUCAAAUGCACUCAAUGUGAGAAAAGUUUUAACCGCUCAUCAGACCUUCAUCAACAUAUGAGGAUUCACACUGGAGAGAAACCAUUCACAUGCACUCAGUGUGGGAAGAGUUUCAGCCAAUCAUCACACCUUAAUCAACACAUGAUGAUCCUCACUGGAGAGAAACCAUUCAUUUGUUUAACCUGCACUCAGUGUGGAAAGAGUUUGGCAAGCAAAAGCAAACUAAAGACUCACAUGAGGAUCCACACUGGAGAGAAACCAUUCACAUGCUAUCAAUAUGGGAAGAGUUUCAGCAAAUCAUCACUUUAUAGACACAAGAAGAUCCACACCGGUAAAAAAACAUUCACUUGCACUCAGUGUGGGAAGAGUUUUAACUGCUCAUCACACCUUAAUCAACACAUCAGGAUCCACACUGGAGAGAAACCAUUCAGAUGCACUCAGUGUGGGAAGAGUUUUAACUGCUCAUCACACCUUAAUGAACACAUGAUGAUCCACACUGGAGAGAAACCAUUCACAUGCCCUCAGUGUGGGAAGAGUUUUAGCAAAUCAUCGUCGCUUUAUAGACACAUGAAGAUCCACACUGGAGAAAAACCAUUCACUUGCACUGAGUGUAGGAAGAGUUUCAGCCAAUCAUCAUCCCUUAAUCUACACAUGAGGAUCCACACUGGAGAGAAACCAUUCACAUGCACUGAGUGUGGGAAGAGUUUCAGUAAAUCAUCAUCGCUUUAUACACACAUGAAGAUCCACACCGGAGAAAAACCAUUCACUUGCACUGAGUGUGGGAAGAGUUUCAUCCAAUCAUCAUGCCUUAAUGUACACAUGAGGAUCCACACUGGAGAGAAACCAUUCACAUGCACUCAGUGUGGGAAGAGUUUUAACAGCUCAUCACACCUUAAUCAACACCUUAUGAUUCACACUAGAGAGAAACCAUUCAAAUGCACUCAGUGUGGGAAGAGUUUGAGCCAAUCAUACCUUAAAAAACACAUGAAGAUUCACACUGGUGUGAGAGAGUAUAUGUGCUUGGAGUGUGAGAAGACUUUUAUUACAGCUGCAGAAUUGAAACGGCACCAGAGGAUUCACACUGGAGAAAAACCGUACAAGUGUUCACAGUGCAGUAAGAGGUUUGCUCACUCAGGAACCCUGAAAACACAUGAGAGGAUUCACACUGGAGAGAAACUGUACAAGUGUUCACACUGCAGUAAGAGGUUUGCUCACUCAGGAACCCUGAAAGCACAUCAGAGGAUUCACACUGGAGAUAAACUAGACAAGAAUCAUUUCACCUGCACUCAGUGUGGAACGAGUUUUGGAAGAAAAAGGGAUCUUAAGAUUCACAAGAGGAUCCACACUGGAAAGAAACCAUUCACAUGCACUCAGUGUGGGAACAGUUUUAACAGCUCAUCACACCUUAAUCAACACAUGAGGAUCCACACUGGAGAGAAACCAUUCACAUGCACUCAGUGUGAGAAGAGUUUCAGCCAAUCAUCAAACCUUAAUCUACACAUGAGGAUCCACACUAGAGAGAAACCAUUCACUUGCACUCAGUGUGGGAAGAAUUUCAACCAAUCAUCAAAUCUUAAUCGACACAUGAGGAUCCACACUGGAGAGAAACCAUUCACAUGCACUCAGUGUGGGACGAGUUUCAUCCGCUCAUCAUCCCUUAAUCUACACAUUAUGAGCCACAAUGGAGAGAAACCAUUCACAUGCACUCAGUGUGGGAAGAGUUUUAAUCGUUCAUCACACCUUAAUCGACACAUGAUGAUCCACACUGGAGAGAAACCAUUCACAUGCACUCAGUGUGGAAUGAGCUUCAGCCAAUCAUCAAACCUUAAUCUACACAUGAGGAUCCACACUGGAGAGAAACCAUUCGCAUGCCCUCAGUGUGGAAUGAGUUUCAGCCAAUCAUCAAACCUUAAUCUACACAUGAGGGUCCACACUGGAGAAAAACCAUUCACAUGCCCUCAGUGUGGGAAGAGUUUUAACAGCUCAUCACACCUUAAUCGACACAUGAGAAUCCACACUGGAGAGAAACCAUUCACUUGCAAAUAAUGUGGGAAGAAUUUCAACCAAUCAUCACACCUUAAUCAACACAUGAGGAUCCACACUGGAGAGAAACCAUUCACAUGCACCCAGUGUGGGAAGAGUUUCAGCUACUCAGCAAACCUUAAUCAACACAUGAGGAUCCACACUGGAGAGAAACCAUUCACAUGCACCCAGUGUGGGAAGAGUUUCAGCAACUCAGCAAACCUUAAUCAACACAUGAGGAUUCACACUGGAGAGAAACCAUUCACAUGUACUCAGUGUGGGAAGAGUUUCAGCCAAUCAUCAUACCUUAAUCAACACAUGAGGAUCCACACUGGAGAGAAACCAUUCACAUGCAGUCAGUGUGGAAAGAGUUUCAGCCAAUCACCAUACCUUAAUCAACACAUGAGGAUCCACACUGGAGAGAAACCAUUCACAUGCAGUCAGUGUGGGAAGAGUUUCAGCCAAUCAUCAUCCCUUUAUCUACACAUGAGGAUACACACUGGAGAGAAACCAUUCACAUGUACUCAGUGUGGUAAGAGUUUCAGCAAAUCAUCAAACCUUAAUAUACACAUGAGGAACCACACUGGAGAGAAACCAUUCACAUGCCUUCAGUGUGGGAAGAGUUUUAGCCAAUCAACAUCCCUUAAUCUACACAUGAGGAUACACACUGGAGAGAAACCAUUCACAUGUACUCAGUGUGGUAAGAGUUUCAGCCAAUCAUCAAACCCUAAUAUACACCAGAGGGUUCACACUGGAGAAAAACCGUACAAGUGUUCACAGUGCAGUAAGAGGUUUACUCGCUCAGGAACCCUGAAAACACAUGAGAGGAUUCACACUGGAGAGAAACUGUAGACAUGAUCAGUGUGUACAAAGUUUCACUUAAUCAGGGCAGCUUAAGAAACACAUGGGAUGGUUUCUGGUAAGGCGCCGACACAUGUAGCAGCAUAGAAAGAGCGCUUCCAUACACACUGGUAUUAAUCCUCCUUUUUACAUCAUAUAUAAUAACCUAAACCAUAUUUAAAUGACAUGGAGGAGGGACAAAAACAAAAAGGCUAGGACAAAACAAUCAGUUAAUCCUGAAAAAAAUGAGAAAUCAACAGAUGAAAAAUCCAAGACGGACGGGAUAGCUGAUAGCCUGUCACCUAUCAUUGCAGCAAUAUUUACAGACAUCAAAGCUUUCCAGAAGAAUAUUAAAUCUGAUUUAACCGCCUUCCAAGAUUCUCUCGCAAAAGAUGUGAAAAUGGAAUUAAGUAACUGUAAACAAGAAGUCAAUCAACAACUGGAUGACCUUAUCACGGACCUAAAUGCAACGACAGAAAAGGUCAACGAAGUGGAGCAGCGAGUUGGAGAAUUUUGGAGGAGAACAUUGCAGAGAUGAAAGAAAUGCUCAAUCAAUCCAUUCAAAUACAAGAAAAUUUAAAAGAGAAACUGUGAGAUAUAGAAAAACGCUCCCGUAGAAAUAAUAAUCAGAUUUUUGGAAUCCCGGAAGGAAGCAUUCUGAAUGAAAAGGGAAUUAAGUUCUAAACACCACCGCCGGCAAGACUUAAAAUCUUUUUGGAAAACAAAGGACCUGGUCCUCCGCUUUGCAUGGAGAAAAAAAUUAAUACACUGAAAUAAAAAAAGAGUUUUCUUUGACCAAGACUACCCACCUGAGAUCCAACAGAAAAGACGGGCUUUUGCUCCGAAAAGAAAAAUUCUGAAUGAAAAGGGGAUUAAGUUCCAAACACCGAAUCUUUCUGGAAAGCAGGGCGGUCAUGUACAAUUUGAUGACGGAGGCAUCAAGAGAAAGUCUGAAAGAAAAAGGACUGAUAAACAGCGAAGAAGAAACUAUUAUAGGAAUCCCUGGGAAAGAGAAACAAAGACCUUGGCAAAAGGUUGGAGUGACAU